GUAAAGAUUUUAAGGGCGUACGGUGGAUGCCUUGGCGAUAUCAGCCGAAGAAGGACGCGGUAAGCUGCGAUAAGCUACGGAGAGGUGCAAGCAACCUUUGACCCGUAGAUUUCCGAAUGGGGGAACCCGGCAGUGGUUAUGCACUGUCACCCAUACCUUUGAGUAUGAGGAGG
This 173-nucleotide ribosomal RNA is filed under the name Veillonella atypica KON. Its description in RNAcentral is "partial 23S ribosomal RNA". It matches the Rfam family "Bacterial large subunit ribosomal RNA", at positions 1 to 180 of the family's 2925-position model. The record is from RNAcentral. Lineage: Bacteria; Bacillati; Bacillota; Negativicutes; Veillonellales; Veillonellaceae.